This 74-nucleotide small nucleolar RNA is filed under the name Anabas testudineus (climbing perch). RNAcentral's name for it is "Small nucleolar RNA SNORD99 (ENSATEG00000009027.2)". It matches the Rfam family "Small nucleolar RNA SNORD99". Rfam says of the family: The members of this family belong to the C/D class of snoRNAs which contain the C (UGAUGA) and D (CUGA) box motifs. Most of the members of the box C/D family function in directing site-specific 2'-O-methylation of substrate RNAs. HBII-420 (SNORD99) is predicted to guide the 2'O-ribose methylation of 28S rRNA A2774. The record is from Rfam by way of RNAcentral. Lineage: Eukaryota; Metazoa; Chordata; Actinopteri; Anabantiformes; Anabantidae.
UCUGAUCAGUGAUGACCAUUUAACUCUAUGUGGACUGAUGGAUGAAGCUUGCGGAUAUGGGACUGAGAUCAGCC